This 274-nucleotide RNase P RNA is filed under the name Bacteroidales bacterium. RNAcentral's name for it is "partial RNase P RNA component class A". It matches the Rfam family "Bacterial RNase P class A", at positions 1 to 320 of the family's 367-position model. From Rfam's summary of the family: Ribonuclease P (RNase P) is a ubiquitous endoribonuclease, found in archaea, bacteria and eukarya as well as chloroplasts and mitochondria. Its best characterised activity is the generation of mature 5'-ends of tRNAs by cleaving the 5'-leader elements of precursor-tRNAs. The record is from RNAcentral. Lineage: Bacteria; Pseudomonadati; Bacteroidota; Bacteroidia; Bacteroidales.
UAGGCGGGGAUUUCCGUCGCGGUCGAAAGACUGAGGAAAGUCCGGACAAGAAAGGGCAUCGCACUGCGGAAAGCGCAGGUGGGGGUAACCUUACGUACGCCGUAACAGAGAAUUACCGCAGAAAUGCAAGGGUGAAAACGCGAGGUAAGAGCUCACGACUUCGGGUAGCGAUACACGAGGGGUACGGCACUGCGACUUGCAAAACCAAAUAUACUGACAGAUGAGGGCUGCCCGUCCGAUGUCAGGGGGUAGGUUGCGAAGAUAAAUGACGGAU